Macaca mulatta (Rhesus monkey) is the source of this 394-nucleotide non-coding RNA. Lineage: Eukaryota; Metazoa; Chordata; Mammalia; Primates; Cercopithecidae. The record is from RefSeq and is a predicted model, not a curated record.
CCCAGAGGGAGCCGGCUGCAAAUUGAAAUCACUGCUCCGGGAAAGAACCAAGGGGAAAAGAGAAGGGGAAAAAAAAAAAACAGCAUCUUUUUAAUCAACGCUCAGAGCUGCAGCCGCUAAUGAAUUCAAGGAGAAUACACCCAGGCUAACCUGACAGAAAAUGAAAGAGACAUGGAGCAGAGCCAAGUCACCCAAGUCACCCCAGCCAACAGCCGGCUGACUCUCAAAUGUGGGAGUGAGCCCAGCCAAUGCCUACAAAGCUGUGCCCUCCUGCCCUUCCACCUACUGUAUGGGAUGGCACAGCAAGAAGGCCUUCACCAGAUGCAGCCCCUUGACCUUGGAUUGCCCAGUCUCCAGACUAUAAAAAAUAAACCUCUGUUCUUUAUGAACUACC